Molecule: non-coding RNA, 110 nt
Organism: Xyrichtys novacula (pearly razorfish)
Lineage: Eukaryota; Metazoa; Chordata; Actinopteri; Labriformes; Labridae
Source: the annotation of a GenBank genome assembly
CAAAGAGCUCCAGCAACACUUGUAGUUCAGGAAAACAUCUUUAUUCAUUUGAAAUGUGUUGGUGGAAUAAAGCUGUUUUCCUGAACUACAAGUGUUGCUGGAGCUCUUUU